GGUGGCCUGUGAGGGUUGCUGGAGGUAUCAGAAGUGCGAAUGCUGACAUAAGUAACGAUAAAGCGGGUGAAAAGCCCGCUCGCCGGAAGACCAAGGGUUCCUGUCCAACGUUAAUCGGGGCAGGGUGAGUCGACCCCUAAGGCGAGGCCGAAAGGCGUAGUCGAUGGGAAACAGGUUAAUAUUCCUGUACUUGGUGUUACUGCGA
Molecule: ribosomal RNA, 205 nt
Filed under: Salmonella enterica subsp. enterica serovar Newport
Lineage: Bacteria; Pseudomonadati; Pseudomonadota; Gammaproteobacteria; Enterobacterales; Enterobacteriaceae
Description: partial 23S ribosomal RNA
Rfam family: Bacterial large subunit ribosomal RNA
Source: RNAcentral